CCCUGUAGCUCAAAUGGUAAAGAAUCUGCCUGCAAUGCAGGAGACCUGGGUUCAAACCCUGUGUUGGGA
RNAcentral lists this transfer RNA (69 nucleotides) under Ovis aries (sheep). It matches the Rfam family "tRNA". Rfam says of the family: Transfer RNA (tRNA) molecules are approximately 80 nucleotides in length. Their secondary structure includes four short double-helical elements and three loops (D, anti-codon, and T loops). The record is from Rfam by way of RNAcentral. Lineage: Eukaryota; Metazoa; Chordata; Mammalia; Artiodactyla; Bovidae.